GGCCUGCUGGCCCAAUGGCAAGGCGCUUGACUACGAAUGACUUCAGCUCUAGGUUAUAAUGUUAUCAAGAGAUUGCAGGUUCGAUCCCUGCGUAGGUCA
Molecule: transfer RNA, 99 nt
Organism: Glarea lozoyensis ATCC 20868
Lineage: Eukaryota; Fungi; Ascomycota; Leotiomycetes; Helotiales; Helotiaceae
Rfam family: tRNA
About the family: Transfer RNA (tRNA) molecules are approximately 80 nucleotides in length. Their secondary structure includes four short double-helical elements and three loops (D, anti-codon, and T loops).
Source: Rfam